RNAcentral lists this ribosomal RNA (117 nucleotides) under bacterium. The record is from RNAcentral. RNAcentral also lists the same sequence under 1 other name.
UCCGGUGGCUAUAGCGGCGGGGACCCACCCGUUCCCAUUCCGAACACGGAAGUUAAGCCCGCCAGCGCCGAUGGUACUUGGGGUGCAGACCCCCGGGAGAGUAGGACACCGCCGGGC